UAACGAUACGGGACUCAUCCGAGGCCCCGUAAUCGGAAUGAGAACACUUUAAAACCUUUAACGAGGAUCAAUUGGAGGGCAAGUCUGGUGCCAGCAGCCGCGGUAAUUCCAGCUCCAAUAGCGUAUAUUAAAGUUGUUGCGGUUAAAAAGCUCGUAGUUGAAUUUGUGUGCCACACUGUCGGUUCAUCGCUCGCGAUGUUUAACUGACAUGAUUGUGGGACGUCCUACCGGUGGGCUUAGCCUCUCACGGGGCGGUCCAGCUAAUUACCCAUCGCGGUGCUCUUCAUCGAGUGUCGAGGUGGGCCGGUACGUUUACUUUGAACAAAUUAGAGUGCUCAAAGCAGGCUACUUUCGCCUGAAUACUGUGUGCAUGGAAUAAUGGAAUAGGACCUCGGUUCUAUUUUGUUGGUUUUCGGAACCCCGAGGUAAUGAUUAAUAGGGACAGAUGGGGGCAUUCGUAUUGCGACGUUAGAGGUGAAAUUCUUGGAUCGUCGCAAGACGAACAGAAGCGAAAGCAUUUGCCAAAAAUGUUUUCAUUAAUCAAGAACGAAAGUUAGAGGUUCGAAGGCGAUCAGAUACCGCCCUAGUUCUAACCAUAAACGAUGCCCGCUAGCGAUCCGCCGAAGUUCCUCCGAUGACUCGGCGGGCAGCUUCCGGGAAACCAAAGCUUUUGGGUUCCGGGGGAAGUAUGGUUGCAAAGCUGAAACUUAAAGGAAUUGACGGAAGGGCACCACCAGGAGUGGAGCCUGCGGCUUAAUUUGACUCAACAC
Molecule: ribosomal RNA, 770 nt
Filed under: Monodontomerus sp. D1631
Lineage: Eukaryota; Metazoa; Arthropoda; Insecta; Hymenoptera; Torymidae
Description: SSU rRNA
Rfam family: Eukaryotic small subunit ribosomal RNA
Source: RNAcentral